Molecule: ribosomal RNA, 334 nt
Filed under: Climacostomum virens
Lineage: Eukaryota; Ciliophora; Heterotrichea; Heterotrichida; Climacostomidae
Description: partial Bacterial small subunit ribosomal RNA
Rfam family: Bacterial small subunit ribosomal RNA
Source: RNAcentral
CUCAGGACGAACGCUGGCGGCGUGCCUAAUACAUGCAAGUAGAACGCUGAAGAGAGGAGCUUGCUCUUCUUGGAUGAGUUGCGAACGGGUGAGUAACGCGUAGGUAACCUGCCUUGUAGCGGGGGAUAACUAUUGGAAACGAUAGCUAAUACCGCAUAACAAUGGAUGACACAUGUCAUUUAUUUGAAAGGGGCAAUUGCUCCACUACAAGAUGGACCUGCGUUGUAUUAGCUAGUAGGUGAGGUAAUGGCUCACCUAGGCGACGAUACAUAGCCGACCUGAGAGGGUGAUCGGCCACACUGGGACUGAGACACGGCCCAGACUCCUACGGGAG